RNAcentral lists this ribosomal RNA (1490 nucleotides) under marine metagenome. RNAcentral's name for it is "bacterial LSU rRNA". It matches the Rfam family "Bacterial large subunit ribosomal RNA", at positions 425 to 1977 of the family's 2925-position model. The record is from RNAcentral.
CGUGAAAUCCUGUCUGAACAUGGGGGGACCACCCUCCAAGCCUAAGUACUCCUCAUCGACCGAUAGUGAACCAGUACCGUGAGGGAAAGGUGAAAAGCACCCCGACGAGGGGAGUGAAACAGUUUCUGAAACCGGACGCCUACAAUCAGUUGGAGGGCCCUUGCGGCCUGACAGCGUACCUUUUGUAUAAUGGGUCAUCGACUUAGUGUAUCUAGCAAGCUUAAGCCGUUAGGUGUAGGCGCAGCGAAAGCGAGUCUUAAUAGGGCGAAUGAGUUAGGUGGAUCAGACCCGAAACCGAGUGAUCUAGGCAUGACCAGGUUGAAGGUGCAGUAACAUGCACUGGAGGACCGAACCCACAUCUGUUGAAAAAGAUCGGGAUGAGUUGUGCCUAGGGGUGAAAGGCCAAUCAAACUCGGAGAUAGCUGGUUCUCUGCGAAAUCUAUUUAGGUAGAGCGUCAUCCGAAUACCCCGGGGGGUAGAGCACUGGAUGGGUAAUGGGGCCUCACCGGCUUACUGAUCCUAACCAAACUCCGAAUACCCGGGAGUACUAGAUGGCAGACACACAGCGAAUGCUAACGUCCGUUGUGGAGAGGGAAACAACCCUGACCUACAGCUAAGGCCCCCAAUUCAUGGCUAAGUGGGAAAGCAGGUGGGACGACCAAAACAACCAGGAGGUUGGCUUAGAAGCAGCCAUCCUUUAAAGAAAGCGUAACAGCUCACUGGUCUAAUUAAGUUGUCCUGCGGCGAAGAUGUAACGGGGCUCAAGCCAUGAGCCGAAGCUUAGGAUGCAAUUUAUUGCAUGGUAGCAGAGCGUAGUGUGACAUAGUUCCACGUCUCCUUAACCACUUCGGUGGCAUUGGAGACAUGGAGCUUUCUGUGAAGCCGGCGCGUGAGCGAUCCGGUGGAGAGAUCACUAGUGAGAAUGAUGACAUGAGUAGCGACAAAGAGUGUGAGAGACACUCUCGCCGAAAGUCCAAGGGUUCCUGCUUAAAGCUAAUCUGAGCAGGGUAAGCCGACCCCUAAGGCGAGGCCGAAAGGCGUAGUCGAUGGGAACCAGGUUAAUAUUCCUGGGCCAGAUGGAAGUGACGGAUCUCGAGGGUAGUUCAUCCUUAUCGGAUUGAAUGGGCUGCUUAGAGGUUCCUGGAAAUAGCUCCAUCGCUAGAUCGUACCCUAAACCGACACAGGUGGACUGGUAGAGAAUACCAAGGCGCUUGAGAGAACUAUGUUGAAGGAACUCGGCAAAAUACCUCCGUAAGUUCGCGAGAAGGAGGCCCGGUUUCUACGCAAGUGGAAGCUGGGGGCACAAACCAGGGGGUGGCGACUGUUUACUAAAAACACAGGGCUCUGCGAAGUCGUAAGACGACGUAUAGGGUCUGACGCCUGCCCGGUGCCUGAAGGUUAAAAGGAGGGGUGAGAGCUCUGAAUUGAAGCCCAGGUAAACGGCGGCCGUAACUAUAACGGUCCUAAGGUAGCGAAAUUCCUUGUCGGGU